Molecule: long non-coding RNA, 1374 nt
Organism: Apis cerana (Asiatic honeybee)
Lineage: Eukaryota; Metazoa; Arthropoda; Insecta; Hymenoptera; Apidae
Source: RefSeq, a predicted model, not a curated record
AGGGGAUCCAAUGGUGGUGACCAUGUGCAAAUGCCCAUCACGUUUGGUAUCACUACCAGAAGACUUCCCGACACUCCUGACUUCGCUGGGAUACCAACCUAUAUAUUCGAAUUUUUGUUCGAUGUUAAUUAAUGAUGUCACCUUGAAUGCAAAUUGGCCGCUAUAAUCGUACAUUCCGCAGCUGUGCAUCAAACUUAAAACAUCUCGAACGCUGUCAGGUUUUAGAACUUUUUCUUCGGUUAUGGGACAAAUGCCACCGUUAGCUAAAGUGGCUGCCAUUACUGCCAUCGUGUCGCAAUUAGCCUCCAUGGAGCAGCACUGUCCAAAAAGACACAUCGUUUGAUAUUACAUUGUUAAAAUAAAAAGAGUAAAAUAAAAAGGGAGGGAAGGAAAGAAAACGAAGGAAAAAAAAAUUUUACCUGGAAAUAGAAAUCCAUGAUUUCUCUCAAAUUCGAUUUAUCGGGAUAACAAUUGUACUCCCUCAUGUAAAAUCCAAGCGCGUAAUUUCUGUCAGCCGCUUCUCGUUCCGACAAAAAUACAGCGUUGUUGAAGCCCAUGUUCUCCCCACCUGCUAACCUCUUAAAAUAAUUCAUCGUGAAGUCGAAUUUUUCGGCUAAAGUCAUUUCAGGCUUGAUCAGAGACUUCAAGAGAGAACAGACUAGGAUUGCGCCAGCGUUGAUCAUGGGAUUAUGGGGUUUCUCUGUAAAGGAGCACGUACAAAAAUAGCUGGGCGAAACAUAACGUGAAAGGAUAGCAGAGAAAACGGAGAAAGAAAACGAUAAAGAAAAUUUGUCAAGGCGAAGUGAAAUCGAAAUUGUGAAAUGUCAAGUUAAAGAUACUUAUAAAUACCACAUGUUCCAAGAAUAAUAAUCUAAAACAUACUGUUGUAAUCCAACACCAGCUCGUUGAAGUUGCGUCCGGACGGUUCUUGGCCGACAUAUUGAUGUACCACUUCCUGUCCCAGCCUGUCCAAAGCGAUCGCGUAAGUCAGAGGCUUGCUGCAACUCUGCAAGGUAAACGGGAUCGAUGUGUCACCGAUGCUGAAUCUCUGCCCAUCGAUCGUGCAGACGGAAACGCCCCAGUAAUCCGGAUUCAUCCUUGCCAGCUGUGGUAUAUAAGAGGCGACCUUGCCCUCCGAGUUCGACUUGCAUUUCCAAUAGAAGUCCUCUAUGUGCUUGGUGAAACCCGACCAAUCGGGUAUAAUGAAUUGGUGUCUGAACGCCCGCGAGAUCAGCACUAUGUUCGGAUUUAUAAUUCUGUAACGUGAUUAAAAAAAAAAAAAAAAUUUAUUACUCCAUUCGUUUCACAAAAAUCUUUUGUAAAAAUCUUUCGACUUUCGAUUUUUUAUAUUAAGAAAUUUUACAUCUUGGAAAA